UGGAAAAGUGCCUCAUCCCUGACA
This 24-nucleotide non-coding RNA is filed under the name Arabidopsis thaliana (thale cress). Lineage: Eukaryota; Viridiplantae; Streptophyta; Magnoliopsida; Brassicales; Brassicaceae. The record is from RNAcentral.